GUCGCUACUACCGAUUGAAUGGUUUAGUGAGACCUUGGGAGGGCGAGAUGAGGGGGGCAACCCCUUUUGAACAUCCAAACUUGGUCAAACUUGAUUAUUUAGAGGAAGUAA
RNAcentral lists this ribosomal RNA (111 nucleotides) under uncultured eukaryote. RNAcentral's name for it is "partial small subunit ribosomal RNA". It matches the Rfam family "Eukaryotic small subunit ribosomal RNA", at positions 1675 to 1785 of the family's 1831-position model. The record is from RNAcentral.